RNAcentral lists this ribosomal RNA (988 nucleotides) under uncultured bacterium. RNAcentral describes it as "bacterial SSU rRNA". It matches the Rfam family "Bacterial small subunit ribosomal RNA", at positions 8 to 999 of the family's 1533-position model. The record is from RNAcentral.
AGAGUUUGAUCAUGGCUCAGAUUGAACGCUGGCGGAAUGCUUUACACAUGCAAGUCGAGCGGCAGCGCGGGGCAACCUGGCGGCGAGCGGCGAACGGGUGAGUAAUGCAUCGGAACAUGUCCAUGUCGUGGGGGAUAGCCCGGCGAAAGCCGGAUUAAUACCGCAUACGCCCGAGAGGGGAAAGCCGGGGACCGCAAGGCCUGGCGCGAUUGGGUUGGCCGAUGUCCGAUUAGCUAGUUGGCGGGGUAAGAGCCCACCAAGGCGAUGAUCGGUAGCUGGUCUGAGAGGAUGAUCAGCCACACUGGGACUGAGACACGGCCCAGACUCCUACGGGAGGCAGCAGUGGGGAAUUUUGGACAAUGGGGGCAACCCUGAUCCAGCCAUUCCGCGUGAGUGAAGAAGGCCUUCGGGUUGUAAAGCUCUUUUGUCCGGAACGAAACGGCUAGCGUGAAUAUCGCUGGCUAAUGACGGUACCGGAAGAAUAAGCACCGGCUAACUACGUGCCAGCAGCCGCGGUAAUACGUAGGGUGCGAGCGUUAAUCGGAAUUACUGGGCGUAAAGCGUGCGCAGGCGGUUUUGUAAGCCAGAUGUGAAAUCCCCGGGCUUAACCUGGGAAUGGCAUUUGGGACUGCAAGGCUGGAGUUUGGCAGAGGAGACUGGAAUUCCCGGUGUAGCAGUGAAAUGCGUAGAUAUCGGGAGGAAUACCGAUGGCGAAAGCAGGUCUCUGGGCUAUAACUGACGCUCAUGCACGAAAGCGUGGGGAGCAAACAGGAUUAGAUACCCUGGUAGUCCACGCCCUAAACGAUGUCGACUGGUUGUUGGGGGUUUGACACUCUCAGUAACGAAGCUAACGCGUGAAGUCGACCGCCUGGGGAGUACGGCCGCAAGGUUAAACUCAAGGAUUGACGGGGACCCGCACAGCGGUGGAUUAUGUGGAUUAUUCGAUGCACGCGAAAACCUUACCUACCCUUGACAUGUCCCGAAGCCC